RNAcentral lists this ribosomal RNA (1443 nucleotides) under Triticum aestivum (bread wheat). RNAcentral describes it as "partial small subunit ribosomal RNA". Lineage: Eukaryota; Viridiplantae; Streptophyta; Magnoliopsida; Poales; Poaceae. The record is from RNAcentral.
AUGGCGAACAAUUUAGAACAUACAAGUGCGACGACAAGGGAGUUUACACUCGAGUUGUUGAAACAAAUUACAGAUAACUUUUCUGAGGACCAUGUCAUUGGACGUGGUGGGUAUGGAGUAGUCUACAAGGGAUUACUGGAUGAUGGGGAAGAGAUUGCUGUCAAAAAGCUUCACUACAUGCCCGGGCUUGACGACACACAGUUUACAAAUGAGUUUAAUAUUGUACAGUUAGUGGGCUACUGCUAUUAUCUAGGACAUGAACGCUUCAAGUACAAUGGUGAAUAUAUUUUUGCCCCAGUAGAAGAAAGAUUUCUCUGCUUCAAAUACCUGCAGGGUGGAGGCCUUGACAAGCAUAUUUCUGAUGAAUCCUGCGGACUCAAUUGGCACACACGCUUCAGGAUUAUUAAGGGAGUUAGUGAGGGCCUAAAUUACCUUCAUAAUGGAUGCAAAGAUUCUAUUUACCAUCUUGACUUGAAGCCUGAGAAUAUAUUGCUGGACAAGAACAUGUUCCCAAAAAUUGGAGAUUUUGGUUUGUCAAGACUUUUUCAGUCAGAAAAAACCCAUAUCACAAGCAAAAUUAUGGGAACAGUUGGAUACAUGCCACCAGAAUACAUCGAUAGACGAGCAAUAACACCGAAGUUUGAUGUAUUCAGUUUGGGUGUUAUAAUCCUUCAGAUAGUAGCGGGAUAUGAUGGCUAUUCCAAAUGUGAACAUAUGUCUCUGCAAGAAUUUCUUGAGCAUGUGCAUGAAAACUGGGGAAAACGGAUGCAGGAAACAAUGUCAUCACAUACAUCAGAGCAAGUUAUUACAUGCAUCAAAAUAGCAUUAAGGUGUGUGGAGUUUGACCGAGAGAAAAGGCCUACCAUAGCGGAUAUUAUUGAUGAACUGAAUAAGAUUGAUAAUGCCGAAAGUUCAGCUACAGGCAAGAACACAGAAGAAAAUGAGCACACUCUGGAAAAACUACCUGAGAUUCAAGAACAGAAAAAAGAGAGUGCAGAAGACGGUAGCAGAUACGCGAGAACAAAUCGCAUUUCCACUCUCGUGGAGAAUCACGCUGAGUUGGUCGAUUUCCCAGCUGGCCCCAUGGGCUCCUUGCUCCCCAAGCUGCUCGAGUUCCUCAGCGACGAGUACCAUUACCUGCAUGCGGACUGCAGGAAAGACGUAGAGUACGUCUACAACGAGCUGGUGGGCAUGCAAGCUGCCCUGCACAAGGUGGCCGAGGUGCCACAGGACCAGCAGCUGGAUUCUGUGGUUAAGCUCUGGACCGAGGAAGUAAAUGACCUCUCAUAUCAGGUGGACAAUACCGUUGAUUCCUUUCUGGCGCGCUUCUGGGCCUCUGAGCUUGACACAUCUCCGAACCUUCGAAGUCAGAAACAACAACUUCCAAGGAAGACCUCCGGCGCGAAAAAGAAAGGGAAUGGCCGAAAGAAGCGGGCGCGAUGA